This 445-nucleotide ribosomal RNA is filed under the name uncultured bacterium. Its description in RNAcentral is "partial 16S ribosomal RNA". It matches the Rfam family "Bacterial small subunit ribosomal RNA", at positions 354 to 796 of the family's 1533-position model. The record is from RNAcentral.
GUGAGGAAUAUUGGUCAAUGGGCGAGAGCCUGAACCAGCCAAGUCGCGUGAAGGAAGAAGGAUCUAUGGUUCGUAAACUUCUUUUGCAGGGGAAUAAAGUGCAGGACGUGUCCUGUUUUGUAUGUACCCUGAGAAUAAGGAUCGGCUAACUCCGUGCCAGCAGCCGCGGUAAUACGGAGGAUCCGAGCGUUAUCCGGAUUUAUUGGGUUUAAAGGGUGCGUAGGUGGUUUGAUAAGUCAGCGGUGAAAGUUUGCAGCUUAACUGUAAAAAUGCCGUUGAAACUGUCGGACUUGAGUGUAAAUGUGGUAGGCGGAAUGCGUGGUGUAGCGGUGAAAUGCAUAGAUAUCACGCAGAACUCCGAUUGCGAAGGCAGCUUACUAAGCUACAACUGACACUGAAGCACGAAAGCGUGGGGAUCAAACAGGAUUAGAUACCCGUGUAGUCC